Long non-coding RNA from Cairina moschata (Muscovy duck), 2489 nucleotides. Lineage: Eukaryota; Metazoa; Chordata; Aves; Anseriformes; Anatidae. The record is from Ensembl.
GAUACCAAAACCUUUCCACGUAAACCCACAACAAAGAAUCAUCAAGUCCAACUCAUGGUAAAACAGGUCUAAAAAUAAUUCCUCCUCUACAACCACCACCUCCUCCUCCACCACCUCCUCCUCCACCACGGCCUAGAAAGAGGAUCUCUAAAGUCUCUUCCAACAAUAAUGAUUCAAUGUAUCCUCAUCCACCACAUAGAACCAUGGAAUAUCCCCUGUUGGAAGGGACCUAUAAGGAUCAUCAAUCCAACUCCUAGUAUCACAGGUCUAAAAAUAAUUCCUCCUCCAAAAACACCACCUACUCUAUGACAACCACCUGCACCAACACCAAAAACUAGAACGAUGACCUUAAACUCUUCCAAAAAUAAUGAUUGUAUGUGUCCUCCUCCACCACAUAGAAUCAUGGAAUAUCCCGAGUUGGAAGGGACACAUAAGGAUCAUCAAAUCCAACUCAUGGUACCACAGGUCUAAAAAUAAUUCCUCCACCACCAGCACCGCCUCCUGCACCACCGCUAGAACAAUGAUGUUUAAAGUCUCUUCCAACAAUAAUGAUUCUAUGUCUCCUCCUCCACCACAUAGAAUCAUGGAAUAUCCACAGUUGGAUGAGAAACCAAACGAUCAUCAAGUAAAACUCAUGGCACGAGAGAUCUAAAAAUAAUUGCUCCACCACCACCACCACCUCCUCCACCACCGCCUCCACCACCACCAAAACUGGAACGAUGACCUUGAAGAUCUCUUCCAACAAUAAUGAUUCUAUUUCUCCUCCUACACCACAUAGAACCAUGGAAUAUCCCAGGUUGGAUGAGAAACCUAAGGAUUAUCAUGUCCAGCUCAGGGAACCAGAGCUCUAAAAAUAAUUCCUCAACCACCACCACAACCACCACGACUACAUCCUCCACCACCGCCUCCUCCACCACCAAAAUCUAGAACGAUGACCUUGAAGGUCUCCUCCAACAAGAAUGAUUCUGUGUCUCCUCCUCCACCACAUAGAAUGAACUAAGUAAAACAUAGAAAAACUCAUGGUACCACAGGUAUAAAAAUUAUUCCUCCACCACCACCACCACCACCUCCUCCACGAACGCCUCCUCCACCACUGCUAUAAAAAUCAUCUUUUAAGUCUCUUCCAACGAUAAUGAUUCUAUGUCUCCUCCUCCACCACAUAGAUUCAUGGAAUAUCCACAGCUGGAUGAGAAACAUUAGGAUCAUCAAGUAAAACUCAUGGUACCACUGGUCUAGAAAUAAUUCCUCCACCACCACCACCACCUACUCCACCACCUAAAACUUGAACGAUGACCUUGAAGGUCUCUUCCAACAAUAAGAAUUCUAUGUCUCCUCCUCCACCACAUAGAAUCAUGGAAUAUCCACAGUUGCAUGAGAAACAUUAGGAUCAUCAAGUAAAAUUCAUGGUACCACAGGUAUAGAACUAAUUCCUCCACGACCACCACCACCUCCUCCACCACGGGCUCCUCCACCACCAAAAACUAGAACGAUGACCUUGAAGGUCUCUUCCAACAAUAAUGAUUCUAUGUCUCCUCCUCCACCGCAUAGAAUCAUGGAAUAUAAACAGUUGGAAGGGACAUAUAAGAAUCACCAAGUCCAACUCAUACUAACACAGGUAUAAAAAAAAUUAUUCCUCCACCGCCACCACAACCGCCUCCUCCACCACUGCUAUAGAAAUCAUAUUUUAAGUCUCUUCCAACAAUAAGGAUUCUAUGUCUCCUCCUCCACCACAUAGAAUCAUGGAAUAUCCACAGUUGGAUGAGAACCUUUAGGAUCAUCAAGUAAAACUCGUGGUACCACAGGUAUAAAAGUAAUUCCUCCACCACCACCAUCACCUCCUCCACCACCGCCUCCUCCACCACCAAAAACUAGAACGAUGACCUUGAAGGUCUCCUCCAACAAUAAUGAUUCUAUGUCUCAUCCUCCAACGCAUAGAAUCAUGGAAUAGAAAGAGUUGGAAGGGACAUAUAAGGAUCACCAAGUCCAACUCAUAGUAACACAGGUAUAAAAAAAAUUAUUCCUCCACCAUCACAGCCUCCUCCACCACUGCUAUAAAAAUCACCUUUUAAGUCUCUUCCAACAAUAAGGAUUCUAUGUCUCCUCCUCCACCACAUAGAAUCAUGGAAUAUCCACAGUUGGAUGAGAAAUAUUAGGAUCAUCAAGUAAAACUCAUGGUACCACAGGUAUAAAAGUAAUUCCUCCAGCACCACCAUCACCUCCUCCACCACCGCCUCCUCCAGCACCUAAACCUUGAACGAUGACCUUGAAGGUCUCUUCCAACAAUAAGGAUUCUAUGUCUCCUCCUCUACCGCCUAGAAUCAUGGAAUAUAAACAGUUGGAAGGGACAUAUAAGGAUCACCAAGUCCAAAUCAUAGUAACACAGGUAUAAAAAAAUUUAUUCCUCCAUUACCACCGCCUCCUCCACCACUGCUAUAAAAAUCACCUUUUAAGUCUCUUCCAACAAUAAUGAUUCUAUAUCUCCUCCUCCA